UCUCGCGUGAGUUUAACUUCCGCCCUUUUGGCUCUCUGAGCAGCGCUAUGGCGGUCGGCAAAAACAAGCGCCUUACGAAAGGCGGCAAAAAGGGAGCCAAGAAGAAAGUGGUUGAUCCAUUUUCUAAGAAAGAUUGGUAUGAUGUGAAAGCACCAGCUAUGUUCAAUAUAAGAAAUAUU
This is a non-coding RNA of Leptonychotes weddellii (Weddell seal), 179 nucleotides long. The record is from RefSeq and is a predicted model, not a curated record. NCBI's taxonomy places the organism in Eukaryota, Metazoa, Chordata, Mammalia, Carnivora, Phocidae.